RNAcentral lists this small RNA (327 nucleotides) under Histoplasma capsulatum var. duboisii H88. RNAcentral describes it as "Histoplasma capsulatum H88 hypothetical RNA". Lineage: Eukaryota; Fungi; Ascomycota; Eurotiomycetes; Onygenales; Ajellomycetaceae. The record is from RNAcentral.
AUGAAAACUGCCUGAUUCGUUGGUCUGUACCCGAACCGCCGCGGACAGAAAUCAUAAGCUUUAAGAGAUCUCUUCGGCUGUUCUGUGAUAAACGAACGUUCUGUUGUUCCAAAAUCUUGUACGAGAGAUCGAUCGAUUUGCCAUGCUUUAGAUUAGAGCGGGUCAAUGUGUGAAAGCAAUUUUGGCGUGGGUUUAUUGUGUUUUGGGUGCUAUGAUUGAGUGUUUCGCUAUGGAAGGGCGGCGAAGGGAUCGUUUAUCAGGUUACGGAAGACUGAAUCGUGUCUAACUAAUGACUUGAUUGAAAAUAUAACAUUCUUACCUAAUGCC